GAUGAACGCUGGCGGCGUGCCUAAUACAUGCAAGUCGAGCGAACAGACGAGGAGCUUGCUCCUCUGACGUUAGCGGCGGAAGGGUGAGUAACACGUGGAUAACCUACCUAUAAGACUGGGAUAACUUCGGGAAACAGGAGCUAAUACCGGAUAAUAUAUUGAACCGCAUGGUUCAAUAAUGAAAGACGGUUUUGCUGUCACUUAUAGAUGGAUCCGCGCCGCAUUAGCUAGUUGGUAAGGUAACGGCUUACCAAGGCAACGAUGCGUAGCCGACCUGAGAGGGUGAUCGGCCACACUGGAACUGAGACACGGUCCAGACUCCUACGGGAGGCAGCAGUAGGGAAUCUUCCGCAAUGGGCGAAAGCCUGACGGAGCAACGCCGCGUGAGUGAUGAAGGUCUUCGGAUCGUAAAACUCUGUUAUUAGGGAAGAACAAAUGUGUAAGUAACUAUGCACGUCUUGACGGUACCUAAUCAGAAAGCCACGGCUAACUACGUG
Molecule: ribosomal RNA, 497 nt
Filed under: uncultured bacterium
Lineage: Bacteria
Description: partial 16S ribosomal RNA
Rfam family: Bacterial small subunit ribosomal RNA
Source: RNAcentral